This is a long non-coding RNA of Notolabrus celidotus (New Zealand spotty), 2120 nucleotides long. RefSeq lists it as uncharacterized. The record is from RefSeq and is a predicted model, not a curated record. NCBI's taxonomy places the organism in Eukaryota, Metazoa, Chordata, Actinopteri, Labriformes, Labridae. The transcript is spliced from 3 exons.
AUAGUUAAGCCACCACAGCAACUUCUUGUCACAGAUGAGCUGAGCAUGCAGGUGCAACUAAUCAACUAAUGAGGUGCAACUAUUUUGGAGUAAAUCACCAAAGACCUGUGGAUGAAACUACGUGGAAGAAGUUCAAUCAAGACACUGCUCUUCCUUUGCUGUUACAUUCAUAACUGUUUGAUUGGAGAGCCAAAGGAGACAGUGGCUUUGAUUGGCUGACCUUGACAUAGGUGGGACAGGGAGACAGCAGUAAAAAGCCAUCAACUGUCUGUCAUUAUCCACCCCCUCUUCUUCCUCCUCCUCCUCAGGUGGUUGGAUGUGUAAGGCGGUCAGAUUACUGUGGCCGAACAAGAUAAACCAGCUCUUUUCUAGAUCUUCACCACCCUCUCUGGAUUCUGCUGUUUGCUUUGACUUUCUUUUUCACAGGCUCGCUCCCACUUUCAUGUGAAGGGUCACACAUCUCCCCUUGCCUGAUUUCAUUUUUCCCCAAUCUUCCCAUUUAACCCCCUCUUCAGCUGAAUCCUCGCACACAGGGUCGAUAGGGUAGACAGAGGAGCUGACUUUUGAUGCUGUGAAGGAGAAAGAGAGCGAACAACAAAUUCAGAACGAUUUCUCAGCAGGAGCAGCUGAAAGUGGAAAAAAAUGAAAUGCUCUCAAGUCAAGAAUCAAAGAAAGAUCUCAAAAUGGAAACUGUUGCCUCCAGUUUAUAUCAGACAGACAGACUCCACGGGAGACACAAAAAAAAAAGAAGUAAAGUAGAACACAUGUUGGAGUUCAAAGGCUAAAGAAACAUUCUAACAAAAAGGGCAAAAGCUUUUAAGCGACACAAUAUGGAGACAUUCUCCUGCAGCUGUCAGUCGGAGUAGUGGGGGUUCUAUAAUUGGGAGUCAUUUUGAGCUCAGAUGAGCAGAAAGAAGAGGUUGUAUCUGAGUGAGCAUGAAGAGGAAGAAAAAUUAAGUCACUCAAGGAAAAUAAAGUUUAUCUUUCAAGGGUGACCUUUCAUAUAGAGAUGGACCAAAACUUAUUGAAAAACAAGGACCUUGGCUCUUCCUUCUUGUAAAACCUCAAAAGAUUGCAAAAUGACUGAAGCAUUUUAGAAAAAACACAAUCCUAAGGUCAGACACACACAACACACACACACACACUUAACAUACACAUACACAUACACAUACACACACAGGAGAUAUACCUCCAUUUGAAUCUAUUUGGUUGCCCACCUUUUUUCAAUGUGAAGAAUUCCGGGAGGCAGAUGAUGAAGCGAGGAUCACGAGGAUGAGAAGUUUGGUCAGCGCUGCUCUUGUCAUGGUUGCACCAUAUGACCAAACACACACAGACACACUUCUCACACCAACACAGGCAUGACUUGUAGCUCGGGGUAUCUGUUUUCUUUCUGAAAACAACACACAUCCAUUCAUGCCCUCCCUCUCACCAGCAGUGUAGCCUUUGGUAGAAGCCCGAUACUCCCUGACAGUACUGUCCAUAAUUCAAGGCAACAACGCAGCGACACACGUGUAGAAGAGCGAAGCAACAUCACUUCCUAUUACACUUCCUGUCGUUUUCCUCAGAACGAGUGAGAAAUGGAGAGUUGCAGAAACAAAGAGUUUAUAUCAGCAGAAUGUAAGUAUGAAAGUUGUGUGUUUUUCUGUUUCUGGACGUGUGUGGGUAAUGGUGUUAUGAUUGUCUUCUCUCAAGAAGAAAUAAGGGGACUUUUUAGACUUAACCUUAUAAAGUCCUGUGUGAACAACAACUCAUAGGUAACUGAUCAAUCGUGUUGAUUCUUGUGUUCUGUGUGGGUUAGUUUGGAAUGUAAUAUCUGUUAGCCAGGCUGAGAGAAGACAGUACCAAACUCACCUUUCUUUAGACUUUUAUGAUAUGCUGAGAAAAAAACAGGAUCAUCUGUGGUAGAACUGCUGUCUGCGUAUGAUGUGAAAAUCAGGAGAGAAACCGUGAAACUAACAACCAUGCUCUGAUGUUUUGUUUUUUACUUGAUGUGUUUUCCCCUGAAUUUUGCCCAUCGUGUCACUGUGAGAUAAUUCAGGCAUCAAUAUGACUUCAUCUGAUAUUUAUGACUUGGAAUGUCAUAUUUUUUUGUUACUGAUAAGGUUUUAUAGCAUGAUGAG